RNAcentral lists this ribosomal RNA (253 nucleotides) under uncultured bacterium. RNAcentral's name for it is "partial 16S ribosomal RNA". It matches the Rfam family "Bacterial small subunit ribosomal RNA", at positions 524 to 776 of the family's 1533-position model. The record is from RNAcentral.
UACGUAGGGGGCAAGCGUUGUCCGGAUUUAUUGGGCGUAAAGAGCGUGUAGGCGGCCAGGUAGGUCCGUUGUGAAAACUCGAGGCUCAACCUCGAGACGUCGAUGGAAACCAUCUGGCUAGAGUCCGGAAGAGGCGAGUGGAAUUCCUGGUGUAGCGGUGAAAUGCGCAGAUAUCGGGAGGAACACCAGUAGCGAAGGCGGCACUCUGGGCCGGUACUGACGCUGAGGAGCGAAAGCGUGGGGAGCGAACAGG